GACGAACGCUGGCGGCGUGGAUUAGGCAUGCAAGUCGGACGGUAGGGCUUUAUCGUAAGAUAGAGUUUGAGAGUGGCGAACGGGUGAGUAACACGUAGGAAUCUACCCUUAAGACGGGGACAACCCAGGGAAACUUGGGCUAAUACCGGAUGAGAGUGCGAGAGAUUGCAUUUAAAAGGAUGGCGAAAGUUGUCGCUUAGGGAUGAGCCUGCGGUCUAUUAGUUAGUUGGUGAGGUAAGAGCUCACCAAGGCGAUGAUAGAUAGGCGGCCUUAACGGGUGGUCGCCCACACUGGGAUUGAGAUACGGCCCAGACUCCUACGGGAGGCAGCAGUCGAGAAUAGUCUACAAUGGCCGGAAGGCUGAUAGUGCGACGCCGCGUGAACGAGGGAGCCCUUCGGGUGUAAAGUUCUUUUCUAUUACGAGCAGUGCUAUAUAUAAUGGAUAGUAUAUAUAGAGGGAUAGUAGUAUAGGAAUAAGGCAAGGCUAACUCCGUGCCAGCAGCCGC
This 506-nucleotide ribosomal RNA is filed under the name uncultured bacterium. RNAcentral's name for it is "bacterial SSU rRNA". It matches the Rfam family "Bacterial small subunit ribosomal RNA", at positions 28 to 518 of the family's 1533-position model. The record is from RNAcentral.